Long non-coding RNA from Carya illinoinensis, 659 nucleotides. RefSeq lists it as uncharacterized. The record is from RefSeq and is a predicted model, not a curated record. NCBI's taxonomy places the organism in Eukaryota, Viridiplantae, Streptophyta, Magnoliopsida, Fagales, Juglandaceae. The transcript is spliced from 3 exons.
CAUGGCCGAAUGACACAAACUCGCAAUGUCCCAAGUCAUGGCUGCACAUGGAGUGGUCCAACACCUCAAGAGCAGCCUAAUAGGUGGACACAAAGUGUUGAGCAAAAAGCGUUGGAUCAGAUGACUCAACUCAGCCACCAGAUAUGGUUUUGGGUACUGAUGUUAAUGAAAUUAACAGUGGUACUGCAGAUGAUGUGCCUGAGUGUAAUGGGAAACAAACAAUGCGGAGGUGUCUUGGACUAGCUGGAUGCACUGAGUUUAUGAAGCUUCGUAAGCACGGCCUCAUUCCAUUGCAGAUUAAUGAUGGUUAGAGGGCACCAUCAUGUGAGAACACAAUGUUCUUUACAACAAGACUAACAUGGAUUAUCAAACAUCAUGCAAGCAUGAUUCAGAAUAGUUGGGAUGUUGUAGAUGCACAAGAGAAAGAGGAAUUAAUCAAUCGUGUCAGGGCUGACUUCAUUCUAGAUUGGAGUAAGAGGAAUCAUCGUGAGAUGGUGGAGAGGAAUCUCGGGAAGAAGUUCAAUGACUUCCACUACCAGCUUCAUAAAAUAUACAGGGGUUGUGACACACAGCAGGAGGCAUUAAUGAAGUCAACCUCAUUGGUGGAACCAGAUGUAUGGAAAAAGUUAUGUGAAAGAUGGGGGAGUGAUGAAUUCAAG